This 500-nucleotide ribosomal RNA is filed under the name uncultured bacterium. Its description in RNAcentral is "partial 16S ribosomal RNA". It matches the Rfam family "Bacterial small subunit ribosomal RNA", at positions 30 to 523 of the family's 1533-position model. The record is from RNAcentral.
AUUGAACGCUGGCGGCAUGCCUUACACAUGCAAGUCGAACGGCAGCACGGGAGCAAUCCUGGUGGCGAGUGGCGAACGGGUGAGUAAAGUAUCGGAACGUGCCCAGUCGUGGGGGAUAACGUAGCGAAAGUUACGCUAAUACCGCAUACGAUCUAUGGAUGAAAGCGGGGGAUCGCAAGACCUCGCGCGAUUGGAGCGGCCGAUAUAAGAUUAGGUAGUUGGUGGGGUAAAGGCUCACCAAGCCGACGAUCUGUAGCUGGUCUGAGAGGACGACCAGCCACACCGGGACUGAGACACGGCCCAGACUCCUACGGGAGGCAGCAGUGGGGAAUUUUGGACAAUGGGCGAAAGCCUGAUCCAGCCAUGCCGCGUGCAGGAUGAAGGCCUUCGGGUUGUAAACUGCUUUUGUACGGAACGAAAAGGUUUGGCCUAAUAAGCUGAGCUCAUGACGGUACCAUAAGAAUAAGCACCGGCUAACUACGUGCCAGCCGCCGCUGUAA